This 227-nucleotide ribosomal RNA is filed under the name uncultured bacterium. Its description in RNAcentral is "partial 16S ribosomal RNA". It matches the Rfam family "Bacterial small subunit ribosomal RNA", at positions 524 to 743 of the family's 1533-position model. The record is from RNAcentral.
UACGGAGGGUGCAAGCGUUGCUCGGAAUCACUGGGCGUAAAGCGACCGCAGGCGGCCUGACAAGUCGGAUGUGAAAGCCCCUGGGCUCAACUCAGGAAUUGCAUUCGAAACUGGCAGGCUCGAGUACGGGAGAGGGGGGUGGAAUUCCUGGUGUGAGGGGUGAAAUUCGUUGAUAUCAGGAGGAACACCGGCGGCGCGAAGGCGGGAUCGUCUGGGCCGAUGACUGA